This 208-nucleotide long non-coding RNA is filed under the name Gossypium barbadense (sea-island cotton). Its description in RNAcentral is "long non-coding RNA (GBAR_LNC005305)". Lineage: Eukaryota; Viridiplantae; Streptophyta; Magnoliopsida; Malvales; Malvaceae. The record is from RNAcentral.
AAGUGUUUAAGGUUCAAGAUCAGGCACUCGAUUGUCUAACAUGAAAAGUUAUUACCAUAGGCUUGCAUGAAAAUCAAAUCUCCGCCACUUGUAAAUGAUAUGAUACACUAACCAAAAGGUCUUUGCAUGGUUGUAACGGGGUUUAGGUUAUAGGUAUGGAUACAAGUUGAAGAGACAAAGGUUAGAAUCGAGAUAAUUUCAAUAUAUU